AGGGGAUGCCAGAGAUUAAAAUGUAAAAGGAAGCCCAACUGGUCAGACAAAGGAUUCCCUUCCGAUUUAAUCAGAAACCCUGGAACACAAAAUGUCGCUCCUUCACAGACUUUAGCAGAGCCCAUUCAGGUGAACAGCCAAACAGAUCUCCGUAAUCCAAUCCCAAGAGAUUCCUCCCAAGGUGGACAGCCCAGGCUAGUAGACAAAGCCACAGCCCUGCAGGGAACCCAGACCAUCAGAGCAGGAAACACCAACAGCAGGGCGCCUGACCACAGAGCGCCUCCUCUCUGAAAUCUGGUAAAUUGCACUUCUCUCAAGUUCCUAGGGGGCGGGAAGACCUUUGCAUAGCAACAGCAAGCUCCCCUGUAUAAGGGGCUGGUGGGGAAAUACAUGCAUGGCCACCUUCCAACCAGCAUACUGGGUACAUGCUUUUGGACAACAAAACAAUUACCUCUGCUCAAGCAAUUUCCUGUGUUCUUCAGUUCCAGCUUGGGACAAACCUCUGGUAAGUUUUCCUUCCAACAGUAUUUAAUUCCAGAACAUGUGGAGUAAGAGGCCUUGAGAAUAGGUGAAGUAAUUGGAUUAUAGGUUAAAAGUUGCCAAGCUAUCAUUUUCUGAUUAUGAAUGACUACGCAGUGCCAUAUGGAGGCAUGAGGGCAGAUGACAGGAAGUGAUAAAAAAGAAAAACCUGAUAUAACAAGUGCAUGGUAAUGCAUUCCAGGGGAAAAUACUAUAAUGAUCCCUCAAAAAUACUCUGAGAAUUAGUCACAGCAACACCAUCUCACAAAUAUUUGCCCUCUACUCUAAAGAUCACUAGUUACAGAUAUGGGGAAUUUUCUACUAAAUGUUUUGAAGAUAACCCAUGAAACUCCUACAAAGCUCAACCUCAAGCAUACUUUUGCCCUGGAACUUUACCAACUGUUGCUCCCUCCACCCCCUUUGGAGGGAGCAGGGGCUGGGGGGAAUUUUCAUUUAGUUAUUUCUCCAUCGGGCUUGGGGGAAACUCCCUAUGGAGAAAUAAUAACUAAAUAAAAAUCUUGGGGUGAGAAGUCUUACGUGGGAGGCACUCGUGCUCUUUGGCUGCAUUUGCAGCAUGACGGUUAGUGAGACUGUUUGUUCAGGCUUGGGUGCUGCCCAACUCCAGGCAUUCUCUGGGCAGCUCCCAAUAUAAAAAAUGAAAUAAAAAUACAAUAAGGUAAGUAAGUACAAUAACAGAAAGAAACAACAUAGAAAUACCGAAACAUAUGCAACAUACGUUAAACGGUGCUAACACGGGGUUCCAUCCAUCCUGCCCCAAGGUCUGAGAAAAAGCCAGGUCUUUAAGGCCUUCCAGAACGCCAUUGGGGUAGAAGCCUCUCAAGGGGGCCUCGUCUCAGAGGGCAGAUGCUCUUUCUGAGUUCGUACAGCCUGCUAAGCCCAGGGGAAAAAAUAGCCAAGGCUAAAAACUAACCAAGUUUAGUAUGUUCUAAUGGGGCCACUUAGGUCUUUUGCCUGUAUAAACGUAGCCAUUAUGUGCUCCCAACACUAUGUACAAGUGUAAUUCAGAGCAUUUUGUAUUUUGUGUGUUUUGAAUAGAUGGGAGUUUCAUUCAGAGAAACUUCUUUAGUACUAGCCAGAAGGGCUGAAUGAGUAGCCAUCACAGCCUUUGGAUAAGUGCCCUCAGCAGCUGGCAAUUGUCAGCUACAAAUUACUUGCUAGCAAUUGCUUAUUAAACCCAGGAUGACAGGAUUUCCCCUUCACCUAAAUUCUCUCUGGGGCUCACAGAGAGACUUCAGAGGGAAAUGUGCAUGAUGCUAAAUUCCACCAGGCCUAUAGAAAUCUUAGUAGGGGAGAAGUCAAACCCUUAAUGCAAAUACACUUCAAAGGAGCUGACAACUCAUCACUCUGUCUUUGUCCCAGGUUUUAAAUCAAGAGUGUCCAGGGUGACACAUUACAGCUUGUGGGGAACUGCAGCAGAGGCCCAUGUCAUGAAGCAGGUGGAGCAGUGAUGCAAAGUGGAUGAGGACACACCAUACCCGUGGACAGUGCAGAGAAUUUCUAUUUUUGUCCCAUUCUGGGGAAACAUUCCCUAUUCCUACCACCACCUGACAGAACAGAAGCAGUAUUAGGAACCGACAGAUCCCAGCAGCCUUUUGAGUUUUGCAAGGAUUAGGAGGAAGCACAGUGAAUAUUUCUGAGAACUCAUAUGGGCCUGGAAGAAGAGUUCUUGAAUUUCCAGAUUAAUUCCAGAGACUUACUCAGAAUUGUUUUGCAUAGAAAAGAACCAUUUGGGAAGAGCGCUUUAAAUGUUUUGUUUGGGAUUCUGAACUCAUUCCCAGAACUACAGUUGCCAGCAUCCCUGGGCAGAGAGAGUGACAUUUAAUCCUAUUUCCACCUGUAAUGACUGUAGACUUGGAAGGCACCACAAGGAUUAUCUAGUCCAACUCUCUGCAGUGACCAGGAAAACCAAUGAAACCAUUUGUGAAAGAUGACUGUCCAGCCUCUUCUUAAAAACCUCAAAGAUGGAGAACCCACCAUUUCCAUAAGUGGACUAUCUCACUUUUACACUCAUGUUCUUGAAGGAUUCAAUAUGUAUAUUUGGAAGUUGUGCUCUGUGCAUUGUCAAUGGACUACUGUAACUAGCUCUACAUGGACCAGCCCUUGAAGAGCAUUCGGAAGGAUCAACUAGUGCAAAAUGAGGCAGUGUGUUCCCCUAGAACAGCACACAUUAUACCUCUGCUCCACAAGUUGCACAGGUUGCCAGUUUGCUUCUGGGUCCAAUUCAAGGUGCUGGUUUUGACCUUUAAAGCCCUAUGUGGCAUGCAGCCUGGUUAUUUUAGGGAUCACCUCUCCCCAGUUAGGUCUACCCAUCCCAUUAGGUCCAGCAGGAGAAGCAUGUUAUAGGUCCCAUUUGCUAAAGUGUUCUUUCAGACAGGAUUGAGGAAGGGAGCAUUUUCUGCCAUAGCACCCACUCUUGGAACAUCAUUCCCCCCAAGGUGAGAUUGGCCCCAACCCUAUUAGCCUUCCAGAAAUCUCUUAAAACAUGUUUUUUUUCAGCAGGUUUGGGGAUCCCAUGGAAAUAGGGAGCCCACCAGAUGGUUGUAUUGUAUGUGAGAUUUUUGUGCAUUCUCCCAUGUUCUUAUUUAUAUUUUACGUUAAUUGUUUUAAUGGUUAUUUAAAAUUUGUUUUAAUUGUUUGUUUUAUUGUACACCGCCCAGAGUCACGUCAGUGAGAUGGGCAGCUAUAUAAAUUUGAUUGAUAAAUAAAUACAUGUGGAAGCACCUGAUAACAUUAUAAAAAAUGAAGUAUAAGAUUAAAGCCUCAGAAAAUCAGCUCUCAAAUGCAUUUCCUGGUCAGGCAUAUUUGACACUCAAUUUAUUUAUCUGUUUAUUUUUUACAUAAGGCAAAAAUCUUAUUCUUCUAGGACUUUUAAUAUAGUCUUAAUUUAACUGUUAUGCUAUCACUGAGCUUUUUAAAUACGUAUUUUUAUUUCU
Molecule: long non-coding RNA, 3473 nt
Organism: Candoia aspera
Lineage: Eukaryota; Metazoa; Chordata; Lepidosauria; Squamata; Candoiidae
Exons: 3
Source: RefSeq, a predicted model, not a curated record